This is a long non-coding RNA of Priapulus caudatus, 1233 nucleotides long. RefSeq lists it as uncharacterized. The transcript is spliced from 3 exons. Lineage: Eukaryota; Metazoa; Priapulida; Priapulimorpha; Priapulimorphida; Priapulidae. The record is from RefSeq and is a predicted model, not a curated record.
UGGACUAAGCACAAGAUCAGUGUUUUCAUACACAGAAAGCUAUGGGAAAGCCCUGAAGCAAGCCAGGUUGGCAGAGGAGACAUCAAAUUUGGAAUCUGGUGGUGAGGAGGAGCCAUGCACAAGAAAAAGAAAGGUUCCAAGUCGCUAUGAGUUUUCAGAGAGUGGACCUGCUGAUGGUGUGUUUUCAUAAAGCAGACAAUUGCUUGUUUUUUGGCCUCGUGGGCUAUGCAGAUGUGUGUCCCUGGGGAUUUUCAAUUGGGUGGUUUGCUAAUAUGUUCUAAUACUGGACAAGCCUAAUGUUAUUUAUCAAUAACAGUGUCAGCAAGUUUGUUGCAAGAUUUUUAUGCCCUGAUAGCAUACGUUAAUGUUCUAUAACUCUAUAAAUUUAUAACGCUUUUAGCUAACUUAUACAUGAUAUGCUCUGCUUUUUUCAACAGAAAAACUGUUCAGUUUAUUUCUAAGCCUUUUAUUCAGAAGCCUGCAUCAGAGCUCAUAAGGCCAGAGAAUUCGAAAUUGAGGAGUGCAUUGCCGAGACACUGAAACAUGCACCACCCAAACCAGGGGGAUCAAAAAAACAUGAACCGUACACGUCGGGACCAGGAGGCCGAUUCAGCGUGCGACACUGAUUCAGAUUGAAUAGCAGACAAACACCAAAGACCCUUAACCUGCCCUAACCCUAACCCUAACCUGCAUCUAACAACAAAACUAUACACGAAUUAAAAAUAACUAACUAGUAUUAAAAACUAAUUUAUUGUGUUAACGUAGAUGUUGAAAGUAGCUCUUGUAAUUAAAAAUGCAAAUUUAAAACCUGUAUAUUGUAAUGUGCCUUUAUUGUAUAUAAUGUAAAAAUAAAAAUUGUCACAAACUAUUUUAAGUGUUUAUUUUUAUUUUUUGAACUCUAUCAGUUGUGCAACAUAUUUUAAAUGUAUAUUAACUUAGUUUUUAUGGCAAAAAAAUACAAACUAAAAUUAUGCAUUUCAUGAGCAGAUGGGCAUUAUCAAUUUAAACGAAUGUAAAAUUCUGUGAUGUUCCCGUGAAAUAAUGUACAUGUCAACUUUCAUGCUCAUGUCUUUUUUGCUUUAAUUGAAAAUUAAAUACAAAAUUAAAUAUUCUUUUGAACGUGUACACAUGGUUGCAGGAAUGUUGCAUUACAACGUUGUAUCACAACGUUGUGGCAACGUUCAGGGGAGUUUACAAAAUAACGUUGCCACAACGUUGUAUCACAACGUAAGC